RNAcentral lists this long non-coding RNA (1193 nucleotides) under Triticum aestivum (bread wheat). RNAcentral describes it as "long non-coding RNA (TAES_LNC028371)". Lineage: Eukaryota; Viridiplantae; Streptophyta; Magnoliopsida; Poales; Poaceae. The record is from RNAcentral.
GUGUGCAACGGAGUUCCACAUUAUUCAUCAAAGCAGAGAACUUAUAGAGGGGACAAGCUUUCCUUUUUUUGCCAUGAAAAGCUAGUACAUGUGGUGCUAAUGUAAUUGAAGAUGGUUGGAAUGCUAGAUGCAUCCCAGCUUGCUGCAGUUGCACAUGUGGGAUACCAAGGUAUGGCUGCUGCAAACACAAAGUCGUGUUUUCGUCAGUUUACUGUUAUUUAACUUUUGUUCCCUUUUCAUUUUUGUUGUCACCCACAAGGAUAUGUAAUUACAAUCUAAGGAAUUUUUUUUGCAUUUUUUUCCUUCUCACCUGAAUUGGGGUCUGCAAACUAUGCGGAGUUGGAGCCCAACUGUUCGGAAUUUUUUGUGCCAAAGUAUUCUUCGGAUGCUACACAAAAUGCAGGAAACAGUAUGUGUCAAUCUGAAUGCAUGAGAUAUCUUUUUUAUUUUUCUGCAUUAUACAAACAACCACAUUCAUCAGUUUUAUUAUGUGUCAAGGACAGAAAGAUUCAACUUUUUUUUCUUCAUUCUAUAAUUUUUGGGAAGCAAGGAAUGAAAGAUUCAAAUUUUCUCUGUCCAGAACAAGUGUUUCACCAUGCUAAGUAUAUUUUUUGGGUCAAAAUAGUGCAUUCAAGAUAGACAGUCUCCACCCCAAAGUGUAAAUCUGGGAAUCCAAGGAAUAGAUCAUAACUUUCAGCCAUGUCUGUUUCUACUGUGUGCUUUUUUUCCUGGAGCUUUUGUAGUAGUUUGACUGAACAUAUGGAAAAAGCACCAUCAUGGAAUUUACCAUCUGUUAAUCAACUACUACAUGUGCAGCAUGCUGAGACAGAAUGAACAACAUGCAGGUAUAUCUAUAAAAAAAUUGAAUUUUUUUCAGGCAGAUUGAACAACAUGCUGAGAUAGACGAAGUUUUCCCAUGAGUUUUUCUCAGAGACAAACAUGUGUGCCCAUCAGGAAAGUGCCAUACUGCUCCAAGAUUGCUGGGGAAAAAAAAUAAGAGAAGUAAGAAGGAAAUCACAAAUUUUUCAGAUCCAAAAUUAACAGGGGAAGAAGAACAUGAAAAGGGAGGAGCUGUAGAUGGAUCCAUGGAUGCAGCGGGGAGGGUUUUGCCUGGGUGGUGUUGUCACAAAGAAGGAACGAAGAACUGGCACAGGAACGAAAGUUUUUCCUGUCGUUUAGCUACAAAAAUGGGC